This 517-nucleotide ribosomal RNA is filed under the name uncultured Arcocellulus. RNAcentral describes it as "bacterial SSU rRNA". It matches the Rfam family "Bacterial small subunit ribosomal RNA", at positions 96 to 643 of the family's 1533-position model. The record is from RNAcentral. Lineage: Eukaryota; Bacillariophyta; Thalassiosirophyceae; Cymatosirales; Cymatosiraceae.
UGGCGGACGGGUGAGUAACACGUGAGAAUUUGCCUUUAGGAGGGGGAUAACAGAGUGAAAACGCUGCUAAUACCCCAUAUGCUUUCGAGUGAAAUGGAUUUAUUCGCCUAAAGAGAAGCUCGCGGCUGAUUAGCUUGUUGGUAAGGUAAUGGCUUACCAAGGCGACGAUCAGUAUCUGGUUUGAGAGGGCGAUCAGACACACUGGAACUGAGACACGGUCCAGACUCCUACGGGAGGCAGCAGUGGGGAAUUUUCCGCAAUGGGCGAAAGCCUGACGGAGCAAUACCGCGUGAGGGAUGACUGCCUAUGGGUUGUAAACCUCUUUUCUCAGGGAGGAAAUCAAUGACGUUACCUGAGGAAUAAGCAUCGGCUAACUCCGUGCCAGCAGCCGCGGUAAGACGGAGGAUGCAAGUGUUAUCCGGAAUCACUGGGCGUAAAGCGUCUGUAGGUGGCUUAACAAGUCAACUGUUAAAUCUUGAAGCUCAACUUCGAAAUCGCAGUCGAAACUGUUAGGCUA